RNAcentral lists this ribosomal RNA (497 nucleotides) under uncultured bacterium. RNAcentral describes it as "partial 16S ribosomal RNA". It matches the Rfam family "Bacterial small subunit ribosomal RNA", at positions 28 to 507 of the family's 1533-position model. The record is from RNAcentral.
GAUGAACGCUGGCGGCGUGCCUAAUACAUGCAAGUCGAGCGAACAGAUGAGGAGCUUGCUCCUCUGACGUUAGCGGCGGACGGGUGAGUAACACGUGGAUAACCUACCUAUAAGACUGGGAUAACUUCGGGAAACCGGAGCUAAUACCGGAUAAUAUAUUGAACCGCAUGGUUCAAUAGUGAAAGACGGUUUUGCUGUCACUUAUAGAUGGAUCCGCGCCGCAUUAGCUAGUUGGUAAGGUAACGGCUUACCAAGGCAACGAUGCGUAGCCGACCUGAGAGGGUGAUCGGCCACGCUGGAACUGAGACCCGGUCCAGACUCCUACGGGAGGCAGCAGUAGGGAAUCUUCCGCAAUGGGCGAAAGCCUGACGGAGCAACGCCGCGUGAGUGAUGAAGGUCUUCGGAUCGUAAAACUCUGUUAUUAGGGAAGAACAAAUGUGUAAGUAACUAUGCACGUCUUGACGGUACCUAAUCAGAAAGCCACGGCUAACUACGUG